AUGUUUCCGGUGGCCGUGAACGCACCACAGGCCACCGAGUCUCCGCUUUCCUGCGCAGUUUGUCCCCAAAUGAGCGCAGAACUGUUUCACUUUCACAAAAAAGAAGAACUAACUUCACGUUCAUCUGACAGCCCAACAUUUAAGAGGAAGGCGGGCAGAAAGGCCGCCUACGGCGAGCCCAGGAGGUCAAAAAGAACAAAUCAGAGCCAAGAAACGGAGCUGGGGCCGUGUAGGAGAGAACCAGAGGAGGUGAGACUGGCGGACCAUGCUGUCAUCUUUCUACCACUGCACAGCCAAUUUAAAGACAUAAAAUCAAAUAUUAAGGCAAUGUUGGUUUACAAUUAUUUUCAACGCCAAAAGACGAAAUGGCCAAACUCGGAGGAUCUUCAGAGAGUUUUACUGAGGGUGGCCAGAAAACCCAAACUGUGCCGGUGUUUUACCGGACAGACCGGGAGGAAACCAACCAGUAAAACACAGACAGCAGGACAACGAAUUGGGCAUACAUUUCACACUUUCGUGGGCCUGAUGGGUAAAAGGCUCGAUGAUCAAGGUAUGCCAACCAUGUCUUAUUUUCUGCCUAUAUCUACCUGGUAA
RNAcentral lists this long non-coding RNA (594 nucleotides) under Oryzias sinensis (Chinese medaka). Its description in RNAcentral is "lncRNA (ENSOSIG00000012443.1)". Lineage: Eukaryota; Metazoa; Chordata; Actinopteri; Beloniformes; Adrianichthyidae. The record is from RNAcentral.